This 845-nucleotide ribosomal RNA is filed under the name uncultured bacterium. RNAcentral describes it as "bacterial SSU rRNA". It matches the Rfam family "Bacterial small subunit ribosomal RNA", at positions 48 to 887 of the family's 1533-position model. The record is from RNAcentral.
CUAACACAUGCAAGUCGAACGGAGUUCUUAAGGAAUGCGACUUCGGUCAAAUGACUUUUGAACUUAGUGGCGGACGGGUGAGUAACGCGUGAGCAACCUGCCUUUCAGAGGGGGAUAACAUUUGGAAACAGAUGCUAAUACCGCAUAAAAUUACCGGUACCGCAUGAUACAGUGAUCAAAGGAGCAAUCCGCUGAAAGAUGGGCUCGCGUCCGAUUAGAUAGUUGGUGAGGUAACGGCUCACCAAGUCGACGAUCGGUAGCCGGACUGAGAGGUUGAACGGCCACAUUGGGACUGAGACACGGCCCAGACUCCUACGGGAGGCAGCAGUGGGGAAUAUUGCACAAUGGGCGAAAGCCUGAUGCAGCAACGCCGCGUGAGGGAAGACGGUUUUCGGAUUGUAAACCUCUGUUUUCGGUGACGAACAAAUGACGGUAACCGAGUAGGAAGCCACGGCUAACUACGUGCCAGCAGCCGCGGUAAUACGUAGGUGGCAAGCGUUAUCCGGAAUUACUGGGUGUAAAGGGAGCGCAGGCGGGAUAGCAAGUCAGCUGUGAAAACUAUGGGCUCAACCCAUAAACUGCAGUUGAAACUGUUAUUCUUGAGUGGAGUAGAGGCAAGCGGAAUUCCGAGUGUAGCGGUGAAAUGCGUAGAUAUUCGGAGGAACACCAGUGGCGAAGGCGGCUUGCUGGGCUCUAACUGACGCUGAGGCUCGAAAGUGUGGGGAGCAAACAGGAUUAGAUACCCUGGUAGUCCACACUGUAAACGAUGAUUGCUAGGUGUGGGGGGUCUGACCCCCUCCGUGCCGGAGUUAACGCAAUAAGCAAUCCACCUGGGGAGUACGGCC